Molecule: long non-coding RNA, 348 nt
Organism: Ruditapes philippinarum (Manila clam)
Lineage: Eukaryota; Metazoa; Mollusca; Bivalvia; Venerida; Veneridae
Exons: 3
Source: RefSeq, a predicted model, not a curated record
UAGUUGUCUGUACAAAAGAAUAAACAGUUAGACUGGUCCGAAAUAGAAACUCAUGUUUCACACUUUCACAAGAUAGCAGGCCACUUAUAAGUGGACAUGUACCGAUGCUGUUGAGGUAGUUUUGGCAAAUCUAAAAAUCUUGCUUCAGAAGAUUGCUGGAGGUCUCUUGUUACCAAGAAAAAACAACAGGUGGUUGGCUGAUAAUGCAAAUAAUCGGUGAAAGCCAGCGCAAAUAUGAAGACUUGUACCAGGGACUGAAGUCUGGAAACCUGGAUCUAGAAUGGCUGAUAAGACGGCUUGGCUUGUUUAGUAUCAGGACUAAACAGUCGCAACAUAAACAACAAGAUC